UUGAAAUGUGAUAGUAGUGUCUGUUAUUAAUACCUCUGUUAGUCAUGGUAGGGGGCAUGAGAGAGAGAGAGAGAGAGAGAGAGAGAGAGAGAGAGAGAGAGAAUAGCCUUUACCAGUGUCUGUCCUCCCAGAUGAUUUUCCUCCUUCUUAGACUGUUUAAGUCAAAGCAGAAUUUGGAAGUAAAAUAUUCAGAAAACCAGAUUGACGUUCUUGGUCUUUGCGUUGAAAUCAUCCCCUUUCCUUUCAGACCAGUGGGCUUCAGGAAAACACUUUGGUUCUUUUGUACGUCCUUCUUUAAUGCAUUCUUACCAACGUGCACCGCAGCUCCAAGCCGGAGUCUAAUUUGAAUCAGAUGCAGCACUCCACUGAAUCUCGGAAUUUAUUGAAAUGUUGUUUAAACUGUGAAAGUUCAGCCUCCACCUCCCCCAACAAAUUAUUUCUCUCCCCUUCCAACCAAGCUUCCCUUUCUGCAUGUGGAACAUCAGGAGAGCCCUCCUGUGGACAAUUUAACAACUGUAAUCUGCUGUUCUUGUAAACCAGCGUUCCAGGGUGGGCCAUUAUGUCAGCUCUGUGUGCUCGCUGGUGGGUUUUGAUCUUGUGAGCUGAGGACUUUAAUUGAAUGUUUAUUGCCAUGUGAAAAAUGAAUGUGAUUAUAGACUCCAUCUUGGCAUCACCAGAAGGAAAAGGAAGCCAUUCCAAGCCAUUUCACUUCAGGAAAGGGUGACGCGGCACACAGGAGGCAGCUGUGACCCUAAGAGUCACCACGAGAGGCUGGCAUCACUAGAAGGCUCGUUUUAGAGAUCUGUGCUCCAGUUCCAUGUGUUUUCCU
This 829-nucleotide long non-coding RNA is filed under the name Marmota monax (woodchuck). Lineage: Eukaryota; Metazoa; Chordata; Mammalia; Rodentia; Sciuridae. The record is from RNAcentral.